This 297-nucleotide unclassified non-coding RNA is filed under the name uncultured Ascomycota. RNAcentral describes it as "sequence contains ITS1". The stretch from base 1 to 105 matches the Rfam family "5.8S ribosomal RNA", at positions 50 to 154 of the family's 154-position model. The record is from RNAcentral. Lineage: Eukaryota; Fungi; Ascomycota.
GAAAUGCGAUAAGUAAUGUGAAUUGCAGAAUUCAGUGAAUCAUCGAAUCUUUGAACGCACAUUGCGCCCCCUGGUAUUCCGGGGGGCAUGCCUGUUCGAGCGUCAUUACAACCAUCAAGCCCUGCUUGGUAAUGGGUCAAACCCUCUUGGGGGUCGGCUCCAAAGUCAUUGGCGGUGCCCCUUGGACUCCGAGCGUAGUAGUAAUAUCUCGCUUUCCGAGCUCAAAGAGGCCCUUGCCCAAACCCAUAUAUUCUAAAUGUUGACCUCGGAUCAGGUAGGGAUACCCGCUGAACUUAA